GGGGCUAUGGUAUAAAGGUUAUUAUGCUUGAUUUCUAAUCAUCGAGAUACCAGUUCGAAUCUGGUUAGCUCCA
RNAcentral lists this transfer RNA (73 nucleotides) under Pascua guehoae. Its description in RNAcentral is "tRNA-Arg". It matches the Rfam family "tRNA". From Rfam's summary of the family: Transfer RNA (tRNA) molecules are approximately 80 nucleotides in length. Their secondary structure includes four short double-helical elements and three loops (D, anti-codon, and T loops). Lineage: Eukaryota; Fungi; Basidiomycota; Tremellomycetes; Trichosporonales; Trichosporonaceae. The record is from RNAcentral.